Molecule: long non-coding RNA, 735 nt
Organism: Poecilia latipinna (sailfin molly)
Lineage: Eukaryota; Metazoa; Chordata; Actinopteri; Cyprinodontiformes; Poeciliidae
Exons: 3
Source: RefSeq, a predicted model, not a curated record
AUUCUACAGAUAUAUAUAUAUAAAAAAGAAACAAAAAACUCGGUUUUCUCCUCUGUUCUUUUCAUUGACAACGCUCCAAACUUUCGCUUUAAGAAGGCGCGUCUCUACGCUGCGGAGUGUUUAUCACAACCCUUAAAGUGGCACAUGGAAACCAGAGCUGAUCGGUGCAUGGAAGAAACCUCCGGCAUUUCUGCUUAGUGUGAGGAGGCGCUUCCGUGAGGCUGAUCCACGGAGCGCGUUGUGUUCUGAUUGUGGGUAUAUUUAUGCGGCUGCCCCCACACCGCGCCGCGCCACGCCGGGGGGAAAAAGGAUCAGCAGAUUCCGACAGAUGGACGGACUGGUGGUGGGCUCGAGAUUUAAAGGAAGCAUGAAAUAGUCAAGCCGUCAGAAAGGUGCAGCACAUUGAAGUGGCAUGGAGGCACCGCCGGGGACGAGCUGCUGUGAGCCCACCUUGGCCAACUGGGAGUGACGGAGUCGCCAAACUGGUUGGGAUGGCAGCAUCCAGUAACUCAAGCCUCUCAGGUUCAUCGGUUUCCUCUGAUCCUGAUGACUAUCAGCCACCCAUAUGGAAGUCUUACUUGUACCAGCUCCAGCAGGAAGCUCCAAGACCAAAGAGGAUCACAUGUCCUCAGGAGGUCAGUGCAUCUGUGAAUGUUAAAAAGCUGGCCGCUGAAGGGAGCUGGAGCGAGUUCAUGUUAUGUUCAUGAUUUAGCUCGUAGAAAAAAAAAGAAUAAA